RNAcentral lists this ribosomal RNA (280 nucleotides) under uncultured bacterium. Its description in RNAcentral is "partial 16S ribosomal RNA". It matches the Rfam family "Bacterial small subunit ribosomal RNA", at positions 78 to 353 of the family's 1533-position model. The record is from RNAcentral.
GCUUGCUUUCUUUGCUGGCGACCGGCGCACGGGUGAGUAACACGUAUCCAACCUACCCUUUACUCGGGGAUAGCCUUUCGAAAGAAAGAUUAAUACCCGAUAGCAUAAUGAUUCCGCAUGGUUUCAUUAUUAAAGGAUUCCGGUAAAGGAUGGGGAUGCGUUCCAUUAGGUUGUUGGUGAGGUAACGGCCCACCAAGCCUUCGAUGGAUAGGGGUUCUGAGAGGAAGGUCCCCCACAUUGGAACUGAGACACGGUCCAAACUCCUACGGGAGGCAGCAUG